AUAAAACGUCAUGGUAAGGAAUUACUGGAUAGGAUCCAUAUGGCAUAUGAGGGUCUGUUUUGAGAAACCCAGUAGGAUUGGGCUGUAUUUCGUAGUGGAUUCGUGGACUGGGUAGCCUAUUUAACCCAACAAUCCAACAGGCACAAAUUGGGUUUUACACUAGGACCUGGAUAGGCCCUUAAAAAGCUGCCAGCUAGGCAGGCCAAUAGGCCUGAUUCCUGCAGGAAUAUCCAAAAAGGACCUGAAAGAAAAGAUAAAAGAUGCAGAGGACAGUGCAGUAAACUUGUUAAUUUUAAACCCAUAUGCUACUAAUCUUUCUAUAAAAUAUGUGUGAGUUGAUAGCGAAGAACUUGAGCAAAACAUCAUUCUCCUUUGGUAGCGAAGAACUUGAGCAAAACAUCAUUCUCCUUUCUCUUUUAAGUUUUUUAAAGAAGUAGCCACACGUGGUUAAGAAACUAAUCAUGUCUGUCCAAUAGGCAGACACCUAUAACCAAGUGACUGCAACUAUUUCUUGUAGAAGAUGCAGUGAUAAUGAACAUGUCAUAUCACAAUUUAUGACUGAUCAAGAGUUUAACAUCAAGGUUUAUCACUGAUUUAUUUUCAUAUGUGCAUAUGGUUUCUGAAUGCAGCUAAUAUUGGUGCAGUGUCUGAAGGGAAAAUUGGCUUUUUCCUUAUAGGAUCUUCCAGAUCUAAUGAGAUCUGGGACGGAAUAUUUCAAAAAAAAUUAUCCUACGAUAUUUUAGAUCUAAGAUCUAUUAGAUCUAAUUCCUAUUAUCUGAUAUUAAAUCUAAAAUUAAAUCUAAAAUCAUGAAGAAUAGAGAAAUACCUCUAGGGUAACUAGAUUACCCUGUAGAUGAUCGCAGCAAUGCCCGGGGUUCUAAAAUAGCCACGCAAUCGUCUGGCCUCUACCGGUAUCCACUCGAGCAGGAUCUGGAUCGUCUUCUCUUCGUGAAUCUUUGCUCCAA
RNAcentral lists this long non-coding RNA (965 nucleotides) under Elaeis guineensis (African oil palm). RNAcentral's name for it is "long non-coding RNA (EGUI_LNC045053)". The record is from RNAcentral. Lineage: Eukaryota; Viridiplantae; Streptophyta; Magnoliopsida; Arecales; Arecaceae.